Podarcis muralis (Common wall lizard) is the source of this 1494-nucleotide long non-coding RNA. RefSeq lists it as uncharacterized. The record is from RefSeq and is a predicted model, not a curated record. NCBI's taxonomy places the organism in Eukaryota, Metazoa, Chordata, Lepidosauria, Squamata, Lacertidae.
UAUUUUCUAGGCAGUUGUACAUCUUCUUGCACAGUGCCAGCCAUGCACCAGAGAAAGACAGAAAAAAGCACGAGAAGCUGCUUUCAAGGAGCAACUGAGAGAAUACUAAGAACUACUCAAGCAGAGAGAGAAAAUACAGGAGAUGGAAGAGCAGAGAAAUGAUGAAGAAAACAGAAUUCAAAACGGGACAGAAUAUACAUGGAACGUGAAUGGAAACUGAAUGUGGCUAUUUAAACACGAUCUACCGAACGAAACAAGAGCCAAACAGCCCUCUCUGUUUUCCCACUGCCAGUUAGAUAUGUAGCUGUUAAAAGCUCAGGAACCCUAGCAAGAGGAAAAGGUGGAUGGACACAGUGGUAGCAGGAGAACACUCUCCGUAUCUUUUCCUGCUCCACCUUGGACCCUGGCCAACCCAGGAAUUGCCAGAAUACCCUGAGCACUGAUCCUCUCCUGAGAUUUUCCAGCCCAUCACUGUCAAGGAGGACAGCCAGCCACAGAGGAAGCAUUCGAGUUCUGGCAGCACUUUUCAGACAUCCAGCUGCAAUAUGCAUCAAACUGCUAUUGAUGCAGUCUGAUGCAGAAGGUUGGAAGAAGCAAUUGUUGCUCUAUGGGUCUCAAAGGAUAAGAGCAUGCCUACAAGGCAGCUGACUGCAGUCACAUUUUGACACUGUAGCACAUAAUCAGAUGUACUGAGUAAGUGGUCCUGGAAAAAUCUGGAGCCUUUCCUCUCAGCACGAAAUGUGAGAACUUGGCCAUGCACUGAUUUUGCUUGCAGUUGUCUUCAUCAGAUGUAUGAAUCGGAUGGAGACUAGCUAGGCUGAAAUCCCUUGCAGGCGGUCAUUGUAGACCUACUACAGCAAGUAAAACAUGUUAAAGACCCAUUGCCAUUAGUCCAUAAGUUCUGUUCAACCAACAUCUGAAUGGCGCUUUUCAUCUAAGGCUGCUGACCUAAGUUAAUCACAUCUUUGAAUAUUUCCUAAUACUUUAGCAAACAAUUCACAUUAAAGUGAGUAGGGCUGAAUAGUGCUUAACUUCUCAUUAAACCAAUUUGGGAUUGGGUUCUACAAUGAGAAACUGAUCCUUUUGUGUCAUUGGCCCAGUCUGGUGGAAUAAUCUUGCCAACAGAGAUUCAGUGGGUGCCUUAUGUGCCAACUUUUAAAUGCCUGCUGAAAACUUUUCUAUUCUGCCAGGCCUAUGCAGGCAAUUAAGAAUACAUCAAUCACAAUGGUUUGUUGAUGUCUGCUUUCAAUUUCUUUUUGCCUUUAACUUGUUUUUAACUUUUUAUGAUGUUAUUGUUUGGUUUUAUGUUUUUAUAUUGCAAACUGCUAUGAUAUAUGAUAUCUAUUUACGAUACAGCAGUAUAUACACAUUUUUUUAUAAAUUAAUGACAUAUUUCUUGAUGACAUUUAGCUGGCCGAGGAAAAAUUAUAUACAGUGGUACCUUGGUUCUCAAACUUAAUCCAUUCCAGAAGUCUGUUCCAAAACCAAAACGUU